GAUGAAGAACGUAGCGAAAUGCGAUAAGUAGUGUGAAUUGCAGAAUUCAGUGAAUCAUCGAAUCUUUGAACGCACAUUGCGCCCCAUGGUAUUCCGUGGGGCAUGCCUGUUCGAGCGUCAUUUACCCCCUCAAGCUCCGCUUGGUGUUGGGCGUCUGUCCCGCUUCGCGCGCGGACUCGCCCCAAAGGUAUUGGCAGCGGUCGUGCCAGCUUCUCGCGCAGCACAUUGCGCUUCUCGAGGCACCGGUGGGCCCGCGUCCAUCAAGCUCACCCCCCCAGUUUGACCUCGGAUCAGGUAGGGAUACCCGCUGAACUUAAGCAUAUAAUAGCGGAGGA
RNAcentral lists this unclassified non-coding RNA (335 nucleotides) under soil metagenome. RNAcentral's name for it is "partial contains 5.8S ribosomal RNA, internal transcribed spacer 2, and large subunit ribosomal RNA". The stretch from base 1 to 120 matches the Rfam family "5.8S ribosomal RNA", at positions 35 to 154 of the family's 154-position model. The record is from RNAcentral.